RNAcentral lists this ribosomal RNA (305 nucleotides) under uncultured bacterium. RNAcentral describes it as "bacterial SSU rRNA". It matches the Rfam family "Bacterial small subunit ribosomal RNA", at positions 338 to 640 of the family's 1533-position model. The record is from RNAcentral.
CCUACGGGGGGCAGCAGUGAGGAAUAUUGGUCAAUGGGCGGGAGCCUGAACCAGCCAAGCCGCGUGAGGGAAGAAGGUACAGCGUAUCGUAAACCUCUUUUGUCAGGGAACAAAGGCGGGGACUAGUCCCCGGAUGAGGGUACCUGAAGAAAAAGCAUCGGCUAACUCCGUGCCAGCAGCCGCGGUAAUACGUAGGGGGCAAGCGUUAUCCGGAUUUACUGGGUGUAAAGGGAGCGUAGGCGGCCAUGCAAGUCAGUAGUGAAAACCCGGGGCUCAACCCUGGGAGUGCUUUUGAAACUGUGCGG